GUAGGUGGCAAGCGUUGUCCGGAAUUAUUGGGCGUAAAGCGCGCGCAGGCGGUCCUUUAAGUCUGAUGUGAAAGCCCACGGCUCAACCGUGGAGGGUCAUUGGAAACUGGGGGACUUGAGUACAGAAGAGGAAAGCGGAAUUCCAAGUGUAGCGGUGAAAUGCGUAGAGAUUUGGAGGAACACCAGUGGCGAAGGCGGCUUUCUGGUCUGUAACUGACGCUGAGGCACGAAAGCGUGGGGAGCAAACAGGGAUUAGAUACCCUGGUAGUCCACGCCGUAAACGAUGAGUGCUAAGUGUUAGGGGGUUUCCCGCCCCCUUAGUGCUGCAGCUAACGCAUUAAGCACUCCGCCUGGGGAGUACGGCCGCAAGGCUG
RNAcentral lists this ribosomal RNA (374 nucleotides) under uncultured organism. RNAcentral's name for it is "partial 16S ribosomal RNA". It matches the Rfam family "Bacterial small subunit ribosomal RNA", at positions 527 to 896 of the family's 1533-position model. The record is from RNAcentral.